AGUCGAGCGGUAACAGAUCCAGCUUGCUGGAUGCUGACGAGCGGCGGACGGGUGAGUAAUGCAUAGGAAUCUGCCCGAUAGUGGGGGAUAACCUGGGGAAACCCAGGCUAAUACCGCAUACGUCCUACGGGAGAAAGGGGGCUCCGGCUCCCGCUAUGGGAUGAGCCUAUGUCGGAUUAGCUAGUUGGUGAGGUAACGGCUCACCAAGGCCACGAUCCGUAGCUGGUCUGAGAGGAUGAUCAGCCACAUCGGGACUGAGACACGGCCCGAACUCCUACGGGAGGCAGCAGUGGGGAAUAUUGGACAAUGGGGGAAACCCUGAUCCAGCCAUGCCGCGUGUGUGAAGAGGGCCCUCGGGUUGUAAAGCACUUUCAGCGAGGAAGAACGCCUAGCGGUUAAUACCCGCUAGGAAAGACAUCACUCGCAGAAGAAGCACCGGCUAACUCCGUGCCAGCAGCCGCGGUAAUACGGAGGGUGCAAGCGUUAAUCGGAAUUACUGGGCGUAAAGCGCGCGUAGGUGGCUUGAUAAGCCGGUUGUGAAAGCCCCGGGCUCAACCUGGGAACGGCAUCCGGAACUGUCAAGCUAGAGUGCAGGAGAGGAAGGUAGAAUUCCCGGUGUAGCGGUGAAAUGCGUAGAGAUCGGGAGGAAUACCAGUGGCGAAGGCGGCCUUCUGGACUGACACUGACACUGAGGUGCGAAAGCGUGGGUAGCAAACAGGAUUAGAUACCCUGGUAGUCCACGCCGUAAACGAUGUCGACCAGCCGUUGGGUGCCUAGCGCACUUUGUGGCGAAGUUAACGCGAUAAGUCGACCGCCUGGGGAGUACGGCCGCAAGGUUAAAACUCAAAUGAAUUGACGGGGGCCCGCACAAGCGGUGGAGCAUGUGGUUUAAUUCGAUGCAACGCGAAGAACCUUACCUACUCUUGACAUCCUGCGAAUUUGGUAGAGAUACCUUAGUGCCUUCGGGAACGCAGA
Molecule: ribosomal RNA, 975 nt
Filed under: uncultured bacterium
Lineage: Bacteria
Description: bacterial SSU rRNA
Rfam family: Bacterial small subunit ribosomal RNA
Source: RNAcentral